AUCCGGCCCAAGACGAAACGCCGGCGGCCGCCCUCACACACGCAAGUUCGAACGAACGAAGCUCUAGCCUGCUAGAGCGGAUCGCGGCGAAACGGGCGAGUAAUACGUCGAGUCGACCUACCUUUGACUCUGGGAUAAGCCCGGGAAAACUGGGUCUAAUACCGGAUACGACCAAUCUCCGCAUGGGGUGUUCGGUGGAAAGCGUUAUGGAGUCGGUUUUAGAUGGGCUCACGGCCUAUCAGCUUGUUGGUGAGGUAAUGGCUUACCAAGGCGACGACGGGUAGCCGGCCUGAGAGGGUGACCGGCCACACUGGGACUGAGACACGGCCCAGACUCCUACGGGAGGCAGCAGUGGGGAAUAUUGCACAAUGGGCGCAAGCCUGAUGCAGCGACGCCGCGUGAGGGAUGACGGCCUUCGGGUUGUAAACCUCUGUUAGCAUCGAAGAAGCGAAAGUGACGGUAGGUGCAGAGAAAGCGCCGGCUAACUACGUGCCAGCAGCCGCGGUAAUACGUAGGGCGCGAGCGUUGUCCGGAAUUAUUGGGCGUAAAGAGCUUGUAGGCGGUUGGUCGCGUCUGCUGUGAAAGGCUGGGGCUUAACCCUGGUUUUGCAGUGGGUACGGGCUAACUAGAGUGCAGUAGGGGAGACUGGAAUUCCUGGCGUAGCGGUGGAAUGCGCAGAUAUCAGGAGGAACACCGAUGGCGAAGGCAGGUCUCUGGGCUGUAACUGACGCUGAGAAGCGAAAGCAUGGGGAGCGAACAGGAUUAGAUACCCUGGUAGUCCAUGCCGUAAACGUUGGGCACUAGGUGUGGGGGACAUUCCACGUUUUCCGCGCCGUAGCUAACGCAUUAAGUGCCCCGCCUGGGGAGUACGGCCGCGAGGCUAAAACUCAAAGAAAUUGACGGGGGCCCGCACAAGCGGCGGAGCAUGCGGAUUAAUUCGAUGCAACGCGAAGAACCUUACCAAGGCUUGACAUAUACUGGACUGCGUCAGAGAUGGCGUUUCCCUUCGGGGCUGGUAUACAGGUGGUGCAUGGUUGUCGUCAGCUCGUGUCGUGAGAUGUUGGGUUAAGUCCCGCAACGAGCGCAACCCUCGUUCUAUGUUGCCAGCACGUGAUGGUGGGGACUCAUAGGAGACUGCCGGGGUCAACUCGGAGGAAGGUGGGGAUGACGUCAAAUCAUCAUGCCCCUUAUGUCUUGGGCUUCACGCAUGCUACAAUGGCCGGUACAGAGGGUUGCGAUACUGUGAGGUGGAGCUAAUCCCUAAAAGCCGGUCUCAGUUCGGAUUGGGGUCUGCAACUCGACCCCAUGAAGUCGGAGUCGUUAGUAAUCGCAGAUCAGCAACGCUGCGGUGAAUACGUUCCCGGGCCCUUGCACACACCGCCCGUC
RNAcentral lists this ribosomal RNA (1386 nucleotides) under uncultured bacterium. Its description in RNAcentral is "bacterial SSU rRNA". It matches the Rfam family "Bacterial small subunit ribosomal RNA". The record is from RNAcentral.